RNAcentral lists this ribosomal RNA (246 nucleotides) under Gemmiger formicilis. Its description in RNAcentral is "partial 23S ribosomal RNA". It matches the Rfam family "Bacterial large subunit ribosomal RNA", at positions 17 to 262 of the family's 2925-position model. Lineage: Bacteria; Bacillati; Bacillota; Clostridia; Eubacteriales; Oscillospiraceae. The record is from RNAcentral.
GCGCAAGGAGAAUGCCUUGGCACUGGGAGCCGAUGAAAGACGUGGUAAGCUGCGAUAAGCCUUGGGGAGGAGCAAACAUCCUUUGAUCCAGGGAUUUCUGAAUGAGGAAACUCAGCGGAGUUCAUGCUCCGUUAUCAUGCACUGAAUCCAUAGGUGCAUGAGGGGAACCGCCUGAACUGAAACAUCUAAGUAGGGCGAGGAAGAGACAUCAACCGAGAUUCCGUUAGUAGUGGCGAGCGAACGCGG